Long non-coding RNA from Podarcis raffonei (Aeolian wall lizard), 232 nucleotides. RefSeq lists it as uncharacterized. The transcript has 2 exons. NCBI's taxonomy places the organism in Eukaryota, Metazoa, Chordata, Lepidosauria, Squamata, Lacertidae. The record is from RefSeq and is a predicted model, not a curated record.
UUGUUUUAUUGAAAUCCUGCCAUCUUUCCAUUUAUACCACAGCCAAGGUGACUCAAUUAGAAUGGCGAUGUCUCUUCUGCUUGGAGGACAACCCUCUAUCUGAAGGAGUCUUCUUUGGUGAAAAGCUGCCUUCAACAGUGAGCACUCGAACAACAGAAUGAGCAGGCAUGCAGGCCGCCUGGUCACGAUCUUCCUCACAAUGUGAAUGCCAGAAAUAAAGAAAGAAAAAGAA